This 1328-nucleotide long non-coding RNA is filed under the name Brassica napus (rape). RNAcentral describes it as "long non-coding RNA (BNAP_LNC005093)". Lineage: Eukaryota; Viridiplantae; Streptophyta; Magnoliopsida; Brassicales; Brassicaceae. The record is from RNAcentral.
UUAAACUUCCUUUCUCUUUACUCAUCUCUCAUCCUGAUUCGCCCCUCUCUGCUUGAUUCCUCCCCCAAAGUCUCGACCUUUAGUCUCCAACUAGAUCCACUCCUUGACAAAGGUCUAACCUUUUUCGCGUGAUCUGUUUCAUCUCUUCGAUUUAGGGGAAACCAGAGAAUGGAUGGGAACUUUCCUCAAGGAGGCGUGGUUCGUGGCGGACCUUCUUCCUACGGAGGAUUCGAUCUGCAAACCUCCAUGAACCAGCAUCGACACAGUCUUCACGAAGGUCUUCCCUUUACUAUGGCCACAGCUCAGACCUGCGAUCAUCACCACAACGUGCCCAUUACUGAGCAACAUAAAGGGGAUAGCGACGAUGAUGAGCCGAGCUUCAAUGAGGAAGGCGGUGAAAAGUCAACUAAAGGGUCUCCAUGGCAGAGAGUGAAGUGGACUGAUAAGAUGGUGAAGCUGUUGAUAACCGCUGUGUCUUAUAUAGGCGAUGAUUCGAGUAUGGACGGUGGGAGCAGGAGAAAGUUUGCGGCUUUGCAGAAAAAGGGAAAGUGGAAGUCUGUUUCCAAGGUCAUGUCCGAGAGAGGGUACCAUGUUUCGCCUCAGCAGUGUGAGGAUAAGUUUAAUGAUUUGAAUAAACGGUAUAAGAAGCUUAACGAUAUGCUUGGGAGGGGGACUUCUUGUCAGGUAGUUGAGAAUCCUGCGCUUUUGGAUUCGAUUGGUUAUUUGAAUGAUAAGGAGAAGGAUGAUGUUAGGAAGAUCAUGAGUUCUAAGCAUUUGUUCUAUGAGGAGAUGUGUUCUUACCACAAUGGGAAUAGGUUGCAUUUGCCUCAUGACUUGGCUUUGCAGCGUUCGCUUAAGCUGGCGCUUAGGAACAGAGAUGAUCAUGAGAGUCAUCAUCAGGUUGAGGAUGUUGAGGAUGAUGAUGGGGAAGGUGAGGAGCAUGAUGAGUAUGAUGAUUUUACACCUGGGGGUUGUAGGGGUGUUCACCUUGGAGGUGGUGGUGCUUUGAAGAAGGCUAGACAGAGUCAUAGUCAUGAAGAUGUUGACCAUCCGGGUCAGCAAGUGAGUUCUCUGGAGUGUAAUAAGCUCUCUUUGGGGAGGAUUCGAUCUGCAAACCUCCAUGAACCAGCAUCGACACAGUCUUCACGAAGGUCUUCCCUUUACUAUGGCCACAGCUCAGACCUGCGAUCAUCACCACAACGUGCCCAUUACUGAGCAACAUAAAGGGGAUAGCGACGAUGAUGAGCCGAGCUUCAAUGAGGAAGGCGGUGAAAAGUCAACUAAAGGGUCUCCAUGGCAGAGAGUGAAGUGGACUGAUAAGAUGGUGA